GAGGAUGCGAGCGUUAUCCGGAUUUAUUGGGUUUAAAGGGUGCGCAGGCUGUCUGUCAAGUCAGCGGUAAAAUAGCGGGGCUCAACCCCGUCGAGCCGUUGAAACUGACAGGCUAGAGUGAGCGAGAAGUAUGCGGAAUGCGUGGUGUAGCGGUGAAAUGCAUAGAUAUCACGCAGAACUCCGAUUGCGAAGGCAGCAUACCGGCGCUCAACUGACGCUCAGGCACGAAAGCGUGGGUAUCGAA
This 244-nucleotide ribosomal RNA is filed under the name uncultured bacterium. RNAcentral's name for it is "partial 16S ribosomal RNA". It matches the Rfam family "Bacterial small subunit ribosomal RNA", at positions 528 to 772 of the family's 1533-position model. The record is from RNAcentral.